AACAUUGGGAAUAAAAGUAAGGAAAAAAAUACAAAAGGCAAAAAUUGGAGAAUGCAGGAUACUUUUUCUAUGCAAAGUAAUUGAAGAUGCUGUUUCUAGAGCCAAGAACAAGGGCAAAAGGCAGCUUGAAAUUAUACAUUCUGAUAUAUGUGGACCUAGAGAGCCAGAGACAUGUAACAGAAAUAGCAGCAGAAGCAAAGUGGAAUAACAUACAGAUUUAAAUGCAAUAACGGAAAAAGGAGUUUACCAGCGGAGAAUUCAAGAAUUGGUGCAGACAGAAAGUAAUUAUACAGGAUUAUACGACACUGUAUACACCUCAACUGAAUGGAAAGGCUUAAUCAAAUAUUACUGAAUAAAAUACGAGCACUCCUGUACGAUUGAAAUAGAGAAGAAAUUGUGGAUGUAAGCUGUGUAUUUUGCAAAUUAUCUACAGAAUAAAGGUUCUGCAACAGGAGUGAAUACAACUGUGUAUAGAAAGUCUGUUUCAAGGAAAUUAAACUGUGCAAGAAUUACC
Molecule: long non-coding RNA, 514 nt
Organism: Eufriesea mexicana
Lineage: Eukaryota; Metazoa; Arthropoda; Insecta; Hymenoptera; Apidae
Exons: 3
Source: RefSeq, a predicted model, not a curated record